RNAcentral lists this Y RNA (102 nucleotides) under Propithecus coquereli (Coquerel's sifaka). RNAcentral's name for it is "Y RNA (ENSPCOG00000006618.1)". It matches the Rfam family "Y RNA". Rfam says of the family: Y RNAs are components of the Ro ribonucleoprotein particle (Ro RNP), in association with Ro60 and La proteins. Lineage: Eukaryota; Metazoa; Chordata; Mammalia; Primates; Indriidae. The record is from RNAcentral.
GCCUGGUCCGAGUGCAGUGGUGUUUACAACUAAUUGAUCACAACCAGUUACAGAUUCCUUUGUUCCUUCUCCACUCCCACUGCUUCACUUGACUAGCNNNNN